RNAcentral lists this long non-coding RNA (1068 nucleotides) under Macaca fascicularis (crab-eating macaque). Its description in RNAcentral is "lncRNA (ENSMFAG00000059321.1)". The record is from RNAcentral. Lineage: Eukaryota; Metazoa; Chordata; Mammalia; Primates; Cercopithecidae.
AUGCUGUGCACGGGGAACAGGGCCUCACGGGCCCGCAGCUUCUUGCUGCUGCCGUUGAGCUGGAAGAGGUUCUGCAGCACCCCCGGCCCCUUGCUGGCCACUGCUGCUGCCUUCCGCUUGGUCUGCGCCACUGCGGACCAGCUCAGCAAGGGGCUGCCAUGGCGGCCCAGGAAGUGGUCGGAGGCCCCCGUGGGGGAUUUGGCACCUGAGGUUAGGAGUUCGGCUUUACCUGAGGGCAAAAGCCCAGCGGAGUCAGCCCCAGCUGGGCCCACAAAACUGCCUCCACCUGCCACUCCCUGGACCCUGCCUGCCCCUCCCUGGACCCUGCCUGCCCCAUGGGUCUCCUCGUUCCCCCAGCCCCCAGAGGAUGCCUUCCCCCAUCUGGGUUCUGGGAAGUCCAGCAAAAUACCAGCUUUGUCUUUGCUAAUGGAUUUCUUCCCGGGUGUCUUCAAAGCUUCGGGGCCAUCCUGUGCUUUGGGGGACAGGCUGGGGGUGGUGGCUUCACUGGGCGGGGGCGCCUCGCUGGAUGCCUUCUUGGUCCUCCGGCAGCUGCUAGACACUAGCAGGGCUGGAGAGGGCUCUGUGCCUGUGGACAGCAUGGGCCAAGGGCUUCAGUGCCAUGGCUGUGGGGUACUGCCACCCCAACCCUUCCUUGGGAGCCUGUCUGGACACAGUGGAGCCCAGGCAGGGCCCUGCCCCACGCAGGUCCCGGGCUCACACUGGAUCUUGAAGUCAGGCGGCAGCAGCCUGACAUUGGAGACAGCGAUGUGGCCGGUGUCCCCAUCGUCAAAUUCCACCACUACCGAGUCCAGGUCCUCAUCUUCGUCACCGGAGGCCCCUGUGGACGGCACACCUGAGCUUGUGGCUGGAACCCCCAGCAGGUGCCCGAAACAAGGAGGCGGGGCUGCCGAGGCCGGUCGGGAGGGUGAGGGGAGGGCUCCAGGGUUCUUCUCCUUGACCACACGGAGGGUGGAGCCGCCCUGCAGCCCGGGAGCCGGGGCCUCCUCUCCGACUCCUGCAGUGCCUCCCGUGCGAUGCCACCGUCACCCCACCCCGACCGGAACCUGA